This 462-nucleotide ribosomal RNA is filed under the name uncultured bacterium. RNAcentral's name for it is "partial 16S ribosomal RNA". It matches the Rfam family "Bacterial small subunit ribosomal RNA", at positions 29 to 507 of the family's 1533-position model. The record is from RNAcentral.
AGUGAACGCUGGCGGCGUGCCUAAUACAUGCAAGUCGAACGGAGAUUAAGUAGCUUGCUAUUUAAUCUUAGUGGCGCACGGGUGAGUAAUAUAUAGCUAACUUGCCCAUUACUGAGGGACAACAGUUGGAAACGACUGCUAAUACCUUAUACUCCGUAUCUAUAUAAGUAGAUACGGGAAAGUUUUUCGGUAAUGGAUAGGGCUAUAUCGUAUCAGCUAGUUGGUAAGGUAAUGGCUUACCAAGGCUAUGACGCGUAACUGGUCUGAGAGGAUGAUCAGUCACACUGGAACUGAGAAGCGGUACAGACUCCUACGGGAGGCAGCAGUAUGGAAUAUUGCUCCACGGGGGAAACCCUGAAGCAGCACCGCCGCGUGGAGGAUGACACUUUUCGGAGCGUAAACUCCUUUUCUUGGGAAAGAAUUAUGACGGUACCCAAGGAAUAAGCACCGGCUAACUCCGUG